UACGUAGGUGGCGAGCGUUGUCCGGAUUUACUGGGUGUAAAGGGCGCGUAGGUGGGGGAGCAAGUCAGAUGUGAAAUUCCAGGGCUUAACCGUGGGCGUGCAUUUGAAACUGUUCUUCUUGAGUACUGGAGAGGCAGGCGGAAUUCCCAGUGUAGCGGUGAAAUGCGUAGAUAUUGGGAGGAACACCAGUGGCGAAGGCGGCCUGCUGGACAGCAACUGACACUGAGGCGCGAAAGCGUGGGGAGCAAAC
Molecule: ribosomal RNA, 250 nt
Filed under: uncultured prokaryote
Description: partial 16S ribosomal RNA
Rfam family: Bacterial small subunit ribosomal RNA
Source: RNAcentral